UGGAAGACAUUGAAUCUGCCAUUAGUAGCCCAGCUGAUCAGCAAGCUUACAGCAAAAGAUUGUCGUAUGCCUUUCGAACGUUGUUACUCUUACAUAAUAUGGUUCAUAGAUUCAUACAAGUGAGUAGUUGGCAAAAUAUGGUUGAAAGAUGAAAAACAAAUAGACAAACAAAAAUAUUGAACCACACAGAUGCACAACAGUAUUUGUAAAAAAUCUGUGAAACAAAACCUGUAUACUUAGCAUUUUUCUUUCCUUUAACAGUUAAUAACUUUGCU
RNAcentral lists this long non-coding RNA (275 nucleotides) under Olea europaea (common olive). Its description in RNAcentral is "long non-coding RNA (OEUR_LNC005956)". Lineage: Eukaryota; Viridiplantae; Streptophyta; Magnoliopsida; Lamiales; Oleaceae. The record is from RNAcentral.